GGACCUUUAGCUCAAUCGGUAGAGCGUUGUACUUAUGAGGUUAACCUACUUGCAUGCAAAUGUCCCGAGUUCGAUUCUCGGAAGGUCCA
Molecule: transfer RNA, 89 nt
Filed under: Heterobasidion irregulare TC 32-1
Lineage: Eukaryota; Fungi; Basidiomycota; Agaricomycetes; Russulales; Bondarzewiaceae
Rfam family: tRNA
About the family: Transfer RNA (tRNA) molecules are approximately 80 nucleotides in length. Their secondary structure includes four short double-helical elements and three loops (D, anti-codon, and T loops).
Source: Rfam by way of RNAcentral